AAGAUUGUGAAUGAUGACAUCACUACAUUCAUCGCUGCUGUUUGCCUAAUGUUCGGCAGUUAUUACUGUUUCAAUAUACACUACCCUACUGAACUGGCAUCAGUGCUUGAAUUUUUGCAAAGGUGCUUCUUCAUCAUCAAUCCUGAAAAGGGCACAAAGGUUGUGGAAAAGAAGAACAAAAAACGACUCCCAGUGAACCCAAGAGUCUUCACCUUAAUCUCUGACCUUUCUGAUCACGAGUGGCGAGAGACCUCGUAAAGGUGGCCUGCAACGGAAACGGUUUCCAUGUUUAAACUUUUGUUAAACGUUGAAAUGUAUACUCUCUAAGCACUUGUGUUGUGCUUUGUUCUGCUUUAGUAGUUAUUAUUGUAAAUAUUCGACAACCUUUAUAUAUUCCCAAGCUCAGUUUGAAGUGGCAGUUAGGUAACAGAAAUGUUUUAAACUCUGAAUCUAAAUUUUAAAUGCGUAGUCUGAUGCUGAUUUUAAGACUGAUCUUAAGCCAUUGUAUACUUCUGAUAAAACACAAGAACAGAAAAAAAACUGUAAUGUUGUUUGAAAUGCCUGCCAGUCUUCAUUAAAAAUACUUGGGACCACUUGA
This is a long non-coding RNA of Puntigrus tetrazona (Sumatra barb), 598 nucleotides long. RefSeq lists it as uncharacterized. The record is from RefSeq and is a predicted model, not a curated record. The transcript is spliced from 2 exons. NCBI's taxonomy places the organism in Eukaryota, Metazoa, Chordata, Actinopteri, Cypriniformes, Cyprinidae.